RNAcentral lists this long non-coding RNA (3162 nucleotides) under Rhinolophus ferrumequinum (greater horseshoe bat). RNAcentral's name for it is "lncRNA (ENSRFEG00010004724.1)". The record is from RNAcentral. Lineage: Eukaryota; Metazoa; Chordata; Mammalia; Chiroptera; Rhinolophidae.
AUUAUUCCCCCACUUGAAACCUGAAAACGGUGGGCCACACAAAGUCUUACUGAUUUCAGGUGAAAACCACAACUGAAGAUGUCAAGCAAAACAGCAAGCACCAACAACAUCACCCAGGCAAGGAGAACUGUGCAGCAGUUAAGACUAGAAGCCUCCAUUGAAAGAAUAAAGGUGUCAAAGGCGUCUGCAGACCUCAUGUCCUACUGUGAGGAACAUGCCAGGAGUGAUCCUUUGCUGAUAGGGAUACCAACUUCCGAAAACCCUUUCAAAGAUAAAAAAACUUGCAUCAUCUUAUAGAGGAAGAGUGAAACGGUGCCUCCCUUCUUCUCAACAAAACCAAUUUAUGAGCAGCUCCUUGAAGAGAAUUACCUUCAGCUUAUUUGACCAUCUAUCAGCAGAGGGAGUGCUUACCUCCCCAACCCCAAGUCGGGGAACAUGGUGGGAAAGACACAUACAAAAACAUAAAGCUAUCGAGACACAAGCUUCUUGCCAAUAUCUGCAGUGUCAGUGCCAUCCUACCUUGUCCACGAACGAUCCGAGAGAGGCUUGGAUUCAGUGGUAUGCAAUGUGGGCCCAAAGGUUCCAACAGCUGGGAAUCGGGUUCCUUGAUUUUCCUCGGGGCGUGACUGUAGCCCUCACAUCCUUGGAAUGUCCUGGGGGGAUCCCAAAAGCAGGAAUCUCCUCCUAUGACCAGAGUGUAUUUUUACUCGAUCAAAGAGGAAGAGAGGUUCUUUUUAUAACAUGCUCACUUACAGGCCCAAACUAUACACUUGUAAUAUUCUUAAUUCAUCUUCAGUUCAUUCAAAAUAACUAAGGAAGGAUUAAAAACUUAUCCUCAAAAAGGAUUCCACCCCAAGAAGGAAUUACUUACAACAGUUUUUCCGAGUGCUAUACAGUCUUGCCCUGCAAACUGCUAAAAUAUAUUUAGUAUUUCUCCAAGUCACCUAUGACUUGUGAACAGCAUUGUGAAUUGCCCUCAUUUUUUCAAGACUCUGAAAAUCAUGCCUCUGCUCUUAACCUCUUGUUAUCAUACGGCUUGAUUCUGUAAUACGCCCAAUUCCCAAGUAAAUUAUAGGCCCCUAUUCAGGAGAGAUAAAGGUUUUCCCUUUCAAAAGGUGAAGUUUGAAAUGUACACUAAAAAGACGAUUUUACAUUUAAUGUUUCACUUAAGGAGGCAUUCUUUUUCCAAAUAAGUAUAUUUUUCUGAUAGUUUCAGAACACUAAUCUUAUUUUCACUCUGAUGUUUAACAUCGUUCUUUAAAUAUUUAUAAUGUAUCUUGUGACAAAGUAUUUUCCUGAAUUAUGUUUAUUAUGCUGUUAUGUGCACAUUUUUGGUAGCAAGCAAUGUACUCAAACCUGUUCUUUUACCUAACAGAAAACAAAUAUGUUUUGCUCUAUAUUUGUUAAGAUGUUUGUAGUGGUAAGGGAUGGACUUGAGGUCCCAGGAGAUUUCAUUUUAUUUUGCUGGCCAGAUAUCAUAAGGCCACGAGUAUAAAUGUCAUGUAACUUCCUGACCAGAUAUAGGACAUAUUCAAGAAAAAUGAAAUCAAAUCCUUUGACGCUGGACCCAAGGGGGAAAAAAUUGUAGUUAAAUGUUGAUUUACUUAUAUGUGAUAAAAUAUAAUAUAUGUAUACAUGUCUAUGAUAUGCAGAUGUCACUUUUAUUUAUCAGGCUUUGUUCUACUUACGAAGCCACAGUUUAACUGUUCUGCAGCAGCUGGUUUAUGAUAUAAUGGACAAAUGCCCAGUGUGUAUUAUUUUUUCCAACUACCACCAGCAUGACACAGUUAAUCACAUAUAUACAUACAACUUCUUGGCUUCAUACCGAUGAAGCCAUUUAAAUAUGUUCACUAUACUUUCUCUUUAGUGCUGCUUCUGUUAGCUGUGAUCUCUUUUCUUUUCAUUCUUAUAUCUUCAUUAGUUCAUCAUACACCUGUCCAGGUGAGGCCUCAGGACCGUGAUAAGAUACGUUAGACAAAAUUUCAUGACUCCAAAGAAUUUUACAGAAACACAUUUUUUUUUUCCUAUAGAGAAAACACUUUAUAUGCCAGGUGGUUCACAAGUUAAGAGGUGGUAACUACUUUUUCUCUAAAAAGAAUCAGGUUUUUACAUUUCCUUACUUUACUAACAUAAAAAGUGCCAUCCUUAACCUUUUAAAGAAAGAACCUGAUUUGCUUUCUCUGUGUUUGGACUAUUUUUGUACUUUACUAAUCUUUAAACUAUCAGAAAAAAAUAUAUUUACCAAUGAUUUAGUAAUUUUGAGGCAUAGGUUAGUUUAGGUAGUGGAGGAUGUGCCAAACUUUCUCUUCAGAUGCCUUCUUCGCAACCAAUUUACAACUAACAUAGUGUCAUCUGAGUGAUUACUAUGAAUUUUGAUUUAAGAUCUAUGUAGCCCCAAAAAGCGAAUUAUAUUACAUGUCAGUCCUUUCUCAAUAAAACAAAUAUAAUAGAGAGUGUGUUAUGAAUUGUAUUGAUUUCUUUUAUGGUAUAUAUCUGUUAAUAGAAACAAGUACAUUGAAUCAAAUAGAAUUAUAUACAUAUUAAAAUAGAGCACUUACCUAAAGUUGGGUGGCCUGGAUCUUAGUCCUGGGUCGUUUUCUAGCCAAUCCUGUGUGCCUGUGUCGUGUGACUUUGGAUAAGUCAUUUCAUCUCUCUGGGCCUCCAUUUCACCAUCUGUAAAACAGGGGCUUGAAGUAGAUGGUGGCUGAGAUCCCUUCCUGCUCUUGGAUGUCUCGGUCCAAUGGUCUACCCCUCUAGUGGUCCUGCCAACGUGUUGGUGCUAUAAGCUGCUUCAAAUAUAAAAUUAGUUCGUCUAUCGUGUAUGCUCAUUUAUUAGCUUAUGAAAGUCCUUUCAUCAUACAGCUUUUUUUCUAGUUUUAUGAACUUGAUUACUGUAAUAAUGUCGUUUUUAGCCAUGUAACUAUAAACAUAUAUUCUCUUGAUGUCUCAGUAAAUUUGCAUUUGAUAAAUAUAGUUGAAGGGAUUUUGUUAUUUUAUAACAUUCUUUGGCUACUCAUCUGUCCAGCAUCUUAUUAACCUAAACACUGUGAUCAUUGUUUGGAAAUCUGUCCUAUGGAAAGAAUAAAAGCAUUUACUUCACUGCUAACAUGUUCACAGAUUUGAAAGAAGUUUCAUUAAAGCACCAUUGCUCUCUUUACUGGG